CAAUAUAAGUGAUGGCGACCGGCGCACGGGUGAGUAACACGUAUCCAACCUGCCGAUAACUCGGGGAUAGCCUUUCGAAAGAAAGAUUAAUACCCGAUGGUAUAAUAAAACCGCAUGGUUUAAUUAUUAAAGAAUUUCGGUUAUCGAUGGGGAUGCGUUCCAUUAGGCAGUUGGUGAGGUAACGGCUCACCAAACCUUCGAUGGACAGGGGUUCUGAGAGGAAGGUCCCCCACAUUGGAACUGAGACACGGUCCAA
This 256-nucleotide ribosomal RNA is filed under the name uncultured bacterium. Its description in RNAcentral is "partial 16S ribosomal RNA". It matches the Rfam family "Bacterial small subunit ribosomal RNA", at positions 74 to 334 of the family's 1533-position model. The record is from RNAcentral.